Molecule: ribosomal RNA, 257 nt
Filed under: uncultured bacterium
Lineage: Bacteria
Description: partial 16S ribosomal RNA
Rfam family: Bacterial small subunit ribosomal RNA
Source: RNAcentral
UACGUGGGGUGCAAGCGUUAUCCGGAAUUAUUGGGCGUAAAGAGCUCGUAGGCGGUUUGUCGCGUCUGCUGUGAAAACUGGAGGCUCAACCUCCAGCCUGCAGUGGGUACGGGCAGACUAGAGUGCGGUAGGGGAGAUUGGAAUUCCUGGUGUAGCGGUGGAAUGCGCAGAUAUCAGGAGGAACACCGAUGGCGAAGGCAGAUCGUCUGGGCCGAUGAACUGACGCUGAGGAGCGAAAAGCAUGGGGAGCGAACAGG